GAUCAUGGCUCAGGAUGAACGCUAGCGACAGGCCUAACACAUGCAAGUCGAGGGGCAGCGAAGAGGUAGCAAUACCUCUGUCGGCGACCGGCGCACGGGUAAGUAACACGUAUGCAAUCCACCUGUAACAGGGGGAUAACCCGGAGAAAUCCGGACUAAUACCCCAUAAUAUGGGCGCUCCGCAUGGAGAGUCCAUUAAAGAGAGCAAUUUUGGUUACAGACGAGCAUGNGCU
RNAcentral lists this ribosomal RNA (233 nucleotides) under uncultured bacterium. RNAcentral's name for it is "partial 16S ribosomal RNA". It matches the Rfam family "Bacterial small subunit ribosomal RNA", at positions 15 to 237 of the family's 1533-position model. The record is from RNAcentral.